This 426-nucleotide ribosomal RNA is filed under the name uncultured Methanolinea sp. Its description in RNAcentral is "bacterial SSU rRNA". It matches the Rfam family "Archaeal small subunit ribosomal RNA", at positions 913 to 1338 of the family's 1478-position model. Lineage: Archaea; Methanobacteriati; Methanobacteriota; Methanomicrobia; Methanomicrobiales; Methanoregulaceae. The record is from RNAcentral.
CAACGCCGGGAAGCUCACCGGAUAAGACAGCGGAAUGAUAGCCGGGCUGAAGACUCUGCUUGACUAGCUGAGAGGAGGUGCAUGGCCGUCGUCAGUUCGUACUGUGAAGCAUCCUGUUAAGUCAGGCAACGAGCGAGACCCACGCCAACAGUUGCCAGCAUGUCCUCCGGGAUGGUGGGGACACUGUUGGGACCGCCUCUGCUAAAGAGGAGGAAGGAAUGGGCAACGGUAGGUCAGCAUGCCCCGAAUUAUCCGGGCUACACGCGGGCUACAAUGGUCAGGACAAUGGGCAUCAACACCGAAAGGUGAAGGCAAUCUCUUAAACCUGUCCUUAGUUCGGAUUGUGGGCUGCAACUCGCCCUCAUGAAGCUGGAAUCCGUAGUAAUCGCGUUUCAACAGAACGCGGUGAAUACGUCCCUGCUCCUU